AGGUUUCAUAGCAACACUCACUCCACGGCAAUAUGAACCAAAAGACGGGACUAAGCGUAUUUUUGGUCUUGGCUGUCACAAGGAUGGUAUACGUUGCGCCAUAUGCGCCUGCAUUUUACAGACAGACGGACUGGUACAGGGCCAUGGGCUGGUGCGCCCACU
Molecule: long non-coding RNA, 162 nt
Organism: Exaiptasia diaphana
Lineage: Eukaryota; Metazoa; Cnidaria; Anthozoa; Actiniaria; Aiptasiidae
Exons: 3
Source: RefSeq, a predicted model, not a curated record